RNAcentral lists this ribosomal RNA (2891 nucleotides) under Vibrio parahaemolyticus. Its description in RNAcentral is "23S ribosomal RNA". It matches the Rfam family "Bacterial large subunit ribosomal RNA". The record is from RNAcentral. Lineage: Bacteria; Pseudomonadati; Pseudomonadota; Gammaproteobacteria; Vibrionales; Vibrionaceae.
GGUUAAGUGACUAAGCGUACACGGUGGAUGCCUUGGCAGUCAGAGGCGAUGAAAGACGUAGUAACUUGCGAUAAGCCCAGAUUAGGUAGUAACAACCAUUUGAGUCUGGGAUUUCUGAAUGGGGAAACCCACGUGCAUAAGCACGUAUCCUUACCUGAAUACAUAGGGUAAGGAGGCGAACCGGGGGAACUGAAACAUCUAAGUACCCCGAGGAAAAGAAAUCAACCGAGAUUCCGAAAGUAGCGGCGAGCGAAAUUGGACUAGCCCUUAAGCUUUACACGCGUUAGACGAACGGUCUGGAAAGUCCGACGAUACAGGGUGAUAGUCCCGUAGUUGACGACGUGUGUUCAGUGAAAUCGAGUAGGGCGGGACACGUGAUAUCCUGUCUGAAUAUGGGGGGACCAUCCUCCAAGGCUAAAUACUACUGACUGACCGAUAGUGAACCAGUACCGUGAGGGAAAGGCGAAAAGAACCCCUGUGAGGGGAGUGAAAUAGAACCUGAAACCGUGUACGUACAAGCAGUAGGAGCAGGCUUUGUCCUGUGACUGCGUACCUUUUGUAUAAUGGGUCAGCGACUUAUAUUCAGUGGCAAGGUUAACCAUCUAGGGGAGCCGUAGGGAAACCGAGUCUUAACUGGGCGUUCAGUCUCUGGAUAUAGACCCGAAACCAGGUGAUCUAGCCAUGGGCAGGUUGAAGGUUGAGUAACAUCAACUGGAGGACCGAACCGACUAAUGUUGAAAAAUUAGCGGAUGACUUGUGGCUAGGGGUGAAAGGCCAAUCAAACCUGGAGAUAGCUGGUUCUCCCCGAAAGCUAUUUAGGUAGCGCCUCGGACGAAUACUACUGGGGGUAGAGCACUGUUAAGGCUAGGGGGUCAUCCCGACUUACCAACCCUUUGCAAACUCCGAAUACCAGUAAGUACUAUCCGGGAGACACACGGCGGGUGCUAACGUCCGUCGUGGAGAGGGAAACAACCCAGACCGCCAGCUAAGGUCCCAAAUUACUACUAAGUGGGAAACGAUGUGGGAAGGCUCAGACAGCCAGGAUGUUGGCUUAGAAGCAGCCAUCAUUUAAAGAAAGCGUAAUAGCUCACUGGUCGAGUCGGCCUGCGCGGAAGAUGUAACGGGGCUAAGUAGUAAACCGAAGCUGCGGCAAUAUACUUUUGUAUAUUGGGUAGGGGAGCGUUCUGUAAGCGGUUGAAGGUGUGUGGUAACGCAUGCUGGACGUAUCAGAAGUGCGAAUGCUGACAUGAGUAACGAUAAAGGGGGUGAAAAACCUCCUCGCCGGAAGACCAAGGGUUCCUGUCCAACGUUAAUCGGGGCAGGGUAAGUCGACCCCUAAGGCGAGGCCGAAAGGCGUAGUCGAUGGGAAACGGGUUAAUAUUCCCGUACUUCUUACAAUUGCGAUGGGGGGACGGAGAAGGCUAGGUGGGCCUGGCGACGGUUGUCCAGGUUCAAGUGCGUAGGCUUGAGAGUUAGGUAAAUCCGGCUCUCUUUAAGGCUGAGACACGACGUCGAGCACCUACGGGUGUGAAGUCAUUGAUGCCAUGCUUCCAGGAAAAGCCUCUAAGCUUCAGAUUGUAAGGAAUCGUACCCCAAACCGACACAGGUGGUCGGGUAGAGAAUACCAAGGCGCUUGAGAGAACUCGGGUGAAGGAACUAGGCAAAAUGGUACCGUAACUUCGGGAGAAGGUACGCUCUCGACGGUGAAGUCCCUUGCGGAUGGAGCUAUUGAGAGUCGCAGAUACCAGGUGGCUGCAACUGUUUAUUAAAAACACAGCACUGUGCAAAAUCGUAAGAUGACGUAUACGGUGUGACGCCUGCCCGGUGCCGGAAGGUUAAUUGAUGGGGUUAGACUUCGGUCGAAGCUCUUGAUCGAAGCCCCGGUAAACGGCGGCCGUAACUAUAACGGUCCUAAGGUAGCGAAAUUCCUUGUCGGGUAAGUUCCGACCUGCACGAAUGGCGUAAUGAUGGCCACGCUGUCUCCACCCGAGACUCAGUGAAAUUGAAAUCGCUGUGAAGAUGCAGUGUACCCGCGGCUAGACGGAAAGACCCCGUGAACCUUUACUACAGCUUGGCACUGAACAUUGACCCUACAUGUGUAGGAUAGGUGGGAGGCUUUGAAGCACGUACGCCAGUAUGUGUGGAGCCGUCCUUGAAAUACCACCCUUGUAGUGUUGAUGUUCUAACGUCGACCCCUAAUCGGGGUUGCGGACAGUGCCUGGUGGGUAGUUUGACUGGGGCGGUCUCCUCCCAAAGAGUAACGGAGGAGCACGAAGGUGGGCUAAUCACGGUUGGACAUCGUGAGGUUAGUGCAAUGGCAUAAGCCCGCUUGACUGCGAGAAUGACAAUUCGAGCAGGUGCGAAAGCAGGUCAUAGUGAUCCGGUGGUUCUGAAUGGAAGGGCCAUCGCUCAACGGAUAAAAGGUACUCCGGGGAUAACAGGCUGAUACCGCCCAAGAGUUCAUAUCGACGGCGGUGUUUGGCACCUCGAUGUCGGCUCAUCACAUCCUGGGGCUGAAGUCGGUCCCAAGGGUAUGGCUGUUCGCCAUUUAAAGUGGUACGCGAGCUGGGUUUAGAACGUCGUGAGACAGUUCGGUCCCUAUCUGCCGUGGGCGUUGGAAGAUUGAAGGGGGCUGCUCCUAGUACGAGAGGACCGGAGUGGACGAACCUCUGGUGUUCGGGUUGUGUCGCCAGACGCAUUGCCCGGUAGCUAAGUUCGGAAUCGAUAACCGCUGAAAGCAUCUAAGCGGGAAGCGAGCCCUGAGAUGAGUCUUCCCUGAUACUUUAAGUAUCCUAAAGGGUUGUCGGAGACUACGACGUUGAUAGGUCAGGUGUGUAAGUGCUGUGAGGCAUUGAGCUAACUGAUACUAAUUGCCCGUGAGGCUUAACCAU